UCGGCUCGUUUGCGUAAUAUACAUAUAUAUACGUAUAUAAUUAUUUGCAAAUGUUCUACUUUGUCACCGGUGUAAAAUACCAUACGUCGUUAUCCCGGGAAACCGUUAAAUUAGAGCGGGUUUUAGGAUACCGCGUGUGAUCGAUUUCUCUCGCCACUAUGACGACGUAAAGUAACAUUACGUCCCAGUGGAUUGUGCGAUGCGAUGCCUAAUUCGAGUUUACGGGUCGUUCCUUGUACACGACGGC
This is a non-coding RNA of Cinara cedri, 247 nucleotides long. The record is from the annotation of a GenBank genome assembly. NCBI's taxonomy places the organism in Eukaryota, Metazoa, Arthropoda, Insecta, Hemiptera, Aphididae.